Molecule: ribosomal RNA, 717 nt
Filed under: Hebeloma cavipes
Lineage: Eukaryota; Fungi; Basidiomycota; Agaricomycetes; Agaricales; Hymenogastraceae
Description: eukaryotic LSU rRNA
Rfam family: 5.8S ribosomal RNA (bases 229-382)
Source: RNAcentral
UUGGUGUGGUUGUUGCUGGCCUUCUUGGAGGCAUGUGCACACCUACCAUCCUCAUCUCUCCACCUGUGCACCUCUUGUAGAUUUGGAAUUGAUUAUCCGAGGCAACUCGGUCGUGAGGACUGCUAGCAUUUAGCUGGCUUUCUUUGCAAUUCCAGGUCUAUGUUUUUCAUAUACCCCAUUGUAUGUAACAGAAUGUAUCAUUGGGCCUUGUGCCUAUAAACCUUAUACAACUUUCAGCAACGGAUCUCUUGGCUCUCGCAUCGAUGAAGAACGCAGCGAAAUGCGAUAAGUAAUGUGAAUUGCAGAAUUCAGUGAAUCAUCGAAUCUUUGAACGCACCUUGCGCUCCUUGGUAUUCCGAGGAGCAUGCCUGUUUGAGUGUCAUUAAAUUCUCAACCAUUAUCAACUUUUGCUGAUAAUGGCUUGGAUGUGGGGGUUAUUUUGCUGGCUUCUCAGAUAGUCAGCUCCCCUUAAAUGCAUUAGCCGGUGCCCCGCGUGGACUGUCUAUUGGUGUGAUAAUUAUCUACGCUAUGGACAUCUGCAAUCAUAUGGGUUUGCACUGCUUCCAACAGUCUGUUAAAGACAAUACAUGACAAUUUGACCUCAAAUCAGGUAGGACUACCCGCUGAACUUAAGCAUAUCAAUAAGCGGAGGAAAAGAAACUAACAAGGAUUCCCCUAGUAACCUGCGAGUGAAGCGGGAAAAGCUCAAAUUUAAAA